RNAcentral lists this ribosomal RNA (120 nucleotides) under uncultured bacterium. RNAcentral describes it as "partial 16S ribosomal RNA". It matches the Rfam family "Bacterial small subunit ribosomal RNA", at positions 28 to 156 of the family's 1533-position model. The record is from RNAcentral.
GAUAAACGCUGGCGGCGUGCCUAAAACAUGCAAGUCGAACGGCCCAUUUCGGUGGGUAGUGGCGGACGGCUGAGUAACACGUGGGUGACCUGCCCUCGAGCGGGGGAUAACUGCCCGAAA